Molecule: unclassified non-coding RNA, 376 nt
Filed under: soil metagenome
Description: partial contains 5.8S ribosomal RNA, internal transcribed spacer 2, and large subunit ribosomal RNA
Rfam family: 5.8S ribosomal RNA (bases 1-120)
Source: RNAcentral
GAUGAAGAACGUAGCGAAAUGCGAUAAGUAAUGUGAAUUGCAGAAUUCAGUGAAUCAUCGAAUCUUUGAACGCACAUUGCGCCCCUUGGUAUUCCGGGGGGCAUGCCUGUUUGAGUGUCAUUAAAUUCUCAACUACACUGACUUUGAAUUGGUGUGGCUUGGAUUUGGGGGGAAAAUUGUUGUGGGCUUUUUGUAUAGUCUGCUCCCCUGAAAUUGAUUAGCGGUACCUUUGUGGAACUGUCUACAGGUGUGAUAAUUAUCUACAUCUUAGACAUCUGCUGGAAUGCUGCUUUCUAAACCUUACUUGUAUUGACAAUCUUGACCUCAAAUCAGGUAGGACUACCCGCUGAACUUAAGCAUAUCAAUAAGCGGAGGA